Long non-coding RNA from Gadus morhua (Atlantic cod), 425 nucleotides. RefSeq lists it as uncharacterized. The record is from RefSeq and is a predicted model, not a curated record. NCBI's taxonomy places the organism in Eukaryota, Metazoa, Chordata, Actinopteri, Gadiformes, Gadidae. The transcript is spliced from 3 exons.
CAAUGUGACAGUAGUUCUCGGAACCAAUGACCUCCGCAAAAUUGACGAGAGCACAAUGAGAUACAACGUCAAAAAAUGCAAACACACAGACUAUAAGAAGCCUUUAAAUGGGAAUGACAUAAUGAUGCUAAAACUGUCAAGGCCAUCAAAAAUAAAACCAAUUAAACUUCCAAAUAAGAAGAUGAAGAUCAAGAAGAACACCACAUGCCUUGUAGCCGGAUGGGGUUUUAUCAAAAGUGGGGGCUCUUCUGUUGAUAAACUCAGACAGGUCGAUGUGGCUACAAUUGACCGGAGGACUUGUCAGCGGGAAUGGUCUAAAAAAAACUAUGUUCUCCCAGCAAACAUUAUCUGUGCAGGUGGAUAUGGGACAGAGAAAGGGGCUUGUCAGGCGGACUCUGGAGGUCCUCUGGUGUGCAACAAGAUGG